This 497-nucleotide ribosomal RNA is filed under the name uncultured bacterium. RNAcentral's name for it is "partial 16S ribosomal RNA". It matches the Rfam family "Bacterial small subunit ribosomal RNA", at positions 28 to 507 of the family's 1533-position model. The record is from RNAcentral.
GAUGAACGCUGGCGGCGUGCCUAAUACAUGCAAGUCGAGCGAACAGACGAGGAGCUUGCUCCUCUGACGUUAGCGGCGGACGGGUGAGUAACACGUGGAUAACCUACCUAUAAGACUGGGAUAACUUCGGGAAACCGGAGCUAAUACCGGAUAAUAUAUUGAACCGCAUGGUUCAAUAGUGAAAGACGGUUUUGCUGUCACUUAUAGAUGGAUCCGCGCCGCAUUAGCUAGUUGGUAAGGUAACGGCUUACCAAGGCGACGAUGCGUAGCCGACCUGAGAGGGGGAUCCGCCCCACUGGAACUGAGACACGGUCCCGACUCCGACGGGAGGCAGCAGUUGGGAAUCUUCCGCAAAGGGCGAAAGCCUGACGGAGCAACGCCCCGGUGGUGAUGAAAGUCUUCGGAUCGUAAAACUCUUUUAAUAGGGAAAAACAAAUGUGGAAGUAACUAUGCACGUCUUGACGGUACCUAAUCAGAAAGCCACGGCUAACUACGUG